UAUAUUUUAAUGUAAAAAAGCAUAAAAAUUUUUGAUAUUUUUUGUAAUAGAUUUUAUCUAUUAAAUAUAA
RNAcentral lists this transfer RNA (70 nucleotides) under Fopius arisanus. Its description in RNAcentral is "tRNA-Gln". The record is from RNAcentral. Lineage: Eukaryota; Metazoa; Arthropoda; Insecta; Hymenoptera; Braconidae.